AAAUGGGGUGACAUUGGUGGCCAUGGGGUGGCAAUAGGGUGUCACUGAUGGCCAUGGGGUGGCAAUAGGGUGACACUGGUGGCCAUGGGGUGGCAGUGGGAUGGCAGUGGUGGCCAUGGGGUGGCAUUGGUGGCGAUGGGGUGGCAAUAGGGUGACACUGAUGGCCAUGGGGUGGCAAUGGGUGACACUGAUGGCCAUGGGGUGGCAAUAGGGUCUCUGGUGGCCAUGGGGUGGCAUUGGUGGCCAUGGGGUGGCUGUAGGGUGACACUGAUGGCCAUAGGGGGGCAGUAGGGUGACACUGAUGGCUGUGGGGUGGCAAUAGGGUGGCACUGAUGGCCAUGGGGUGGCACUGGUGGCCAUGGGGUGGCCAUGGGGUGGCAGUGGGUGACACUGAUGGCCAUGGGGUGGCAAUAGGGUGACACUGAUGGCCAUGGGGAGGCCAUGGGUGGCCAUGGAGUGGCAAUAGGGUGGCACUGGUGGCCAUGGGGUGGCAAUGGUGGCCAUGGGGUGGCUAUAGGGUGACACUGGUGGCUAUGGGGUGGCCAUGGGGUGGCAGUGGGUGACACUGGUGGCCAUGGGGUGGCAUUGGUGACCAUGGGGUGACCCUGGUGGCCAUGGGGUGGCCAUAGGGUGACACUGAUGGCCAUAGGGGGGCAGUAGGGUGACACUGAUGGCUGUGGGGUGGCAAUAGGGUGACACUGAUGGCCAUGGGGUGGCAAUAGGGUGACACUGAUGGCCAUGGGGUGGCAAUAGAGUGACUCCGGUGGCCAUGGGGUGGCAUUGGUGGGCAUGGGGUGGCAAUAGGGUGACACUGGUGGCCA
This 821-nucleotide long non-coding RNA is filed under the name Gallus gallus (chicken). RNAcentral's name for it is "lncRNA (ENSGALG00010000780.1)". Lineage: Eukaryota; Metazoa; Chordata; Aves; Galliformes; Phasianidae. The record is from RNAcentral.